GCCCAGUUAGCUCAGUCGGUAGAGCAUCAGGCUUUUAACCUGAGGGUCAGGGGUUCGAGUCCCCUACUGGGUG
RNAcentral lists this transfer RNA (73 nucleotides) under Amphimedon queenslandica. RNAcentral describes it as "tRNA-Lys". It matches the Rfam family "tRNA". Rfam says of the family: Transfer RNA (tRNA) molecules are approximately 80 nucleotides in length. The record is from Rfam by way of RNAcentral. Lineage: Eukaryota; Metazoa; Porifera; Demospongiae; Haplosclerida; Niphatidae.